CAGAGUUGCAAAACUCCCUAAACACUUGUGAACCUACCAGUAUCGUUGCUUCGGUGGGCGGCCCCAGGGCGGGGCCGUAGCCUUUACAGGCGCCCGCCGGAGGUUACAAACUCUAUAUUUUUAAUUGUCUCUCUGAGUAAACUUAUAAAUAAGUCA
This 156-nucleotide unclassified non-coding RNA is filed under the name uncultured Sordariales. RNAcentral's name for it is "sequence contains ITS1". The record is from RNAcentral. Lineage: Eukaryota; Fungi; Ascomycota; Sordariomycetes; Sordariales.